This 1703-nucleotide long non-coding RNA is filed under the name Homo sapiens (human). Its description in RNAcentral is "HSALNT0092936". The record is from RNAcentral. Lineage: Eukaryota; Metazoa; Chordata; Mammalia; Primates; Hominidae.
UGGAAGGCUGGCCAGUAGGCUGGAGCAGACAAGAUGAGCAGAAAGUGGCCUCGUGUCUUGCUGGGACCUGAGCCCUUGAUGCUGUCCACACAGGUGACCCUCAGGAGUGCAGAGCAGGGCCAAGAAGAGUGGUGUGUCAAGAAGGUAGACAGCUUCCUGGCCCCGGAGUCACGCAGUUUGAGAUGCCUGGAUUCUGCCGCCUCCCUAUACAUCUCUUCCCUUGUCUGAGCCUUUGCUGGCUUCUUACAGCAGCUCUGUAGGAGGACAGCUGGCAGGAGUUCUGCUCUUGGCUGUGAGCUCCCUCCUGGGGACCUGCCCAGCUCACGGCCCUGGCUGGGCUCCCAGGGCAUAUCUGGGGCUGGGGGCUGAAGGUGGGGCCUGGAUGCCACCCUGAGCACUGGCAGCUGCUCUGAGGACAUUACAAGCAGCAGGGGAAGCACUGGACAGCAACCAUCAUUUCUUCUGGCAGUGGAGCCUCUGCUGUGACUGGUUCUGUGUCCAGCACCUGCUCUGGGCCACACCGUCAGGAAGAAGGAGUUGCAUGACUGUCCUAGCCUUGGAUUUGACUUUGGCCUCAUCCACCUAGAGGGAGUGAGAACUCCUUCCUCACAUGAGCCAGGUGGAACCCUGGGCCCUUCAGGAGUGAGUUAGUAGAGCUGGAUGUCGCUCAGGCUGGGUUGGGUCACCACCAGCUGUGGCCCUUCUCCCUUUUCUCUGCUCCUUCACCUUGUUCCCCAACUCUGACUGCCCACUGCCAGUCCUUUGUGCGUGGUUGGUGCUCCUUCCUCCAGACAGCCUCCUUCUCCUUCCUGCUGGGGAAACCCCAAGUGCUGUCUCUUGGAAACCAAAAAUAAAAUUCUAAUCUCCCCAGCCAUCUGAAUGGACCCCUCUUCUCAGCCAAGGCCAUUCCAAAAUUAAUCUGAAAAACUAGUUCAGGCCAUGAUAGAAAGUAGGGGUCAGGCAGGCCUCAUCAUCCCUCCUCCCUUCAGGUUUCAGGCACAGCUGAGCAGCAGUAACAUCGACACAGAGACCUGAAGACUGACAACAGACUCUGGCAGUAAGAUACAGCAGGCUCUGAAAGAAACUGAAGUAUUUUACUAUCAAACAGAUUUCUUUGACAUAUUUUGAAAUAGCUCUGCAAAGCUGUCUCUUAUGAGGAAAAUCUACAUUCUGUGAAGAAUCCCCUUCCCUUUCUAGCUCUUUUCUCCUGAGAUAAUUAACUAGAGUCUGAUAAGAAACAUUUAACAGUGUGUUUUUUCUGAAGCCUGAUACCUGGAGGCUUCAUCUGCCUAAGAACCUUGGUCUCUACAACCUCUUACCCCAGAGACAGUCCCUUCUAUUGAUUCCAGGUCUUUAGAUAAACUCUCUGAGCCAAUUGCCAAUCAGAAAAUCUUUGAAUCCACAUGACCCAGAAGCCCGCCUCCCACUUUCAAGUUGUCCCUCCUUUUCUGACUGAACCAAUGUAUACCUUACAUACACUGAUUGAUGUCUCGUGCCUCCCUAAAAUGUAUAAAACCAAGUUGCAGCCCUAUCCCUUUGGGCACUUGUUGUCAGGAUCUUCUGGGGCUGUCCUGGGCCAUUAGUCACAUAUUGGCUCAGAAGAAAUCUCUUCAAAAAAAAAAAAAGUUUAUCUAUAUUGCUGUCUACAAUGAAAAAUAUCCAAUGUUAUGUUUACUCUUUGUAAUUAAAUGCUAAAAAAUUUA